This 612-nucleotide long non-coding RNA is filed under the name Solanum tuberosum (potato). Its description in RNAcentral is "long non-coding RNA (STUB_LNC004494)". Lineage: Eukaryota; Viridiplantae; Streptophyta; Magnoliopsida; Solanales; Solanaceae. The record is from RNAcentral.
UUAGUUAAAACACACGUACUUUAUAUACAUACAAUUGUUAAAAGUGUAAUACUUCAUUGCAUUUCCAGAAGUAGUUGCUAGAAACUAAAUGCUCAUGAAAUCGCUAAAUCAUGCUUUGCCUAAUCAAACCAAUAAAUAACUGGAUUGCUUUUAGAAGUGAUUCUUCCAGUCUGAACAUAUUCUGGAGUUGCAUAGCCUACCGUACCUACAACCUGAGGAAUUGCUAAGUUAGGCAAUGCACAACGAGACAUUUGAAACAUUUGGUCUAAAACAUGUCAUAGACAUUUCUGCGGCUAUAUAUCAUUUAAGGGUAAAACGAAAAGUUUAAACUUAAAAUGUUUCUAAACAUAGAAAAUGUCUUUCUUUUUUGUGACUGAUGGACAACAUCAUACGAAGUGUAGAUCCGGUGAGGUCUGGGGAGGGGACACAAACCUUACCCUUUCUCAUAGAGAUAGAGAUGUUGUUUAUGAAGACCCCUGACUCAGGUUGUGAAAAUUAAAGAACAUCAAAAAAUAGAAAUAGGGAAGAAAAAGGAUACUUACUGAUGGUGACACAUGGGUUAGUCCUGUAGUUGGACCUUGCCUAACUAGUCCAAAGUGUGAUAGUUUUGCG